RNAcentral lists this small RNA (242 nucleotides) under Propionispora vibrioides. Its description in RNAcentral is "BsrG". The record is from RNAcentral. Lineage: Bacteria; Bacillati; Bacillota; Negativicutes; Selenomonadales; Sporomusaceae.
UAGGUUUGUAGGCUGCUCGGGGGACGGUUAGCUCCUUCCUUUCCAGGAAGGGGAUGGUAAGAUGACUGUUUAUGAGGCAUUGACAUUUGCGGUCGCAUUUGCCACGCUCAUGGUAUUGGUCAUGACCCAAAAGAAAUAACCGCCCCUGCUCAGAUGGCGGUUAUUUCCUAAUAACAUGCAAUUUGGGCUAGCCGUUUUCCGGUUAGACAGCCUGUAGGGCUGGCGUGUGUCGAGCACGCCAG